Long non-coding RNA from Notothenia coriiceps (black rockcod), 1749 nucleotides. RefSeq lists it as uncharacterized. The transcript has 5 exons. The record is from RefSeq and is a predicted model, not a curated record. NCBI's taxonomy places the organism in Eukaryota, Metazoa, Chordata, Actinopteri, Perciformes, Nototheniidae.
CUGAGAAGCUGCUCAUUGAAAACAUGAACCUCUCUGCCAUUCAGGACCGGGAGAUCUGCUGCUACUCCGUCUCCUGCAAAGAGAAAGACAAUAUAGAUAUCACGCUGCAGUGGCUCAUCCAACACUCAAAGUCUCGAAGAAGCUGAAGAUGAAGACCCCCCCCCAUUGCAGCCUCAGCCCCUAAUGCUCAUGGGACCUCGACAGCCAUCCCUUCCUCUGCCUCUGUGAAGUUAUCCAGCUCUGCUCACUACCAACGCCCCCGCACCACGCAGUACACUACCAUAGCCCCCUUGUACAGCACUACCCCCACCCGAAUAUCAGGAGAUUUAAGAAGCUGUUUCAGUACUGAGAAGGUGGAUUAUUCGUACCCGUCAUGCCUUAUAUGGACAUGCUGUGUCUGGCUUUUUAAUAUAGCUUCUGCAAGAAUCUCAUGAUGUCACAGUGUGGUAUUCCCCAGAUGGUCUUCCUUUAAUCCCACAUCUAGACAUCCUUUUGUCAACAUUUGGUGUUUACAUGACACUGUUGUUGUUGGGUUUUUUUAACAGUUAAUUGCCAAAUAACGAUGCUAGUUUAUGCUAAUCCCUACCGUUUAAUUCUUAAUGAAAUCUUCCCACUGUCUGCAGCCUGCAUUUUAUUUGCUGGUAUCCAUUUUUAUUAAGUGACUUAAGUCAAUGUUUACACAUAACUUAAAGAUGAACAGAAGUGUUGUUUUUGUCUGAAGCAAAAAAAAAAUCCUAAAAUAGGUCAUCAGAGUUUUAUAAGUGCCUUCGGCUGAGUGAGUGAUCCAAUCAGACAGUAAUUGCCCCAUGCGACUCCUAACCCACUAUUAUGAAUAAACAGUCGGUUCAGACGCAGCAUAAACCCCUUGAUUACACUUAAAGCCACACUGCGAUAAUCACGUUAUGUUUUGUGAUCUUAUUAUUAUGCCUUGAGAAAAAGGCAGUUCUGUAAAAUACGGUAUGAGGUCAUUGAGAAGAUGUUACAUUUGCUUUAGUUCAUGCGUAAUUGAAUGUUUUUUUAUAUAGCUUGAAAAUGUUUUCUUGCUGUUCUCAGGUUGUUGAAUGAUUUGAGUUUGACUCUUAUGGUCUGAUCUGUCGGGGUGUGCCCAGUAUCUGUUUCAUUAUCCCCAUUUUGUUCAGGUUGGAUAACAGGAAGCCAGUGUUACGGAGAACAGAAGAUGGUGGACGCUUGAUGCCAUUUAGCAUUUAGCGCCCUCCUCUGAAUCCUGAUGUCUUUAUUAGAAGCCUUAGCAGCCAAAGGACAACGCUGUCUCAAAAAGCGAUGUAUAACCUGGCAAGUUGUUUCCUUUUAACAAAAGACAAUGAUUUUAGAAAUACUUAUCUGCCCUUGCUUGGCCAGUUUAUCUUUUAUCAAUGUGUGUGUUGCUGGAUCCCUUCUGCCAUGAUGCUGUAUGCAGGCCCAAACGCUCCUGCAUUUCACUGUAAUUCUUUCUACAAAUGCAUUACAGACACUAUUAUAUCCCAUUGUUCUGUCUGGUGAUAGUAUAGUUGGGACCACAGCAGCAGUGAGGGGUUCUACAUUUGGGUGGCGGGGUGGAAAAGCUUUGUUACCUGUGUUAUUAUAAUAAUAUACCCUAUUUGCAAUUUGCAUGUGCAGAACUUAAUUCACAUUCAAUUGCAGACUUUGUAAAUAAGAUUUAGCAUUUUUAUUCCAACAGAUGCUCCUGUAGAUGUCAUGCAUUCUUUCGCUGUGAUGAUUGCUAAUAAAUUUGUUUUUAUUUUUAAGGAU